AGAAUUGAUCUGGUCAGAACGAACGCUGGUGGCGUGUCUUAUACAUGCAAGUCGAGCGAGGCAGCAAUGCCGAGCGGCGAACGGGUGAGUAACGCGUAAGCAAUCUGCCCCAUAUCAGGAAAUACCCGUGCCAACGCGCGGUUAAUGUCCAGGAGAGUGGCCAGCUGCAUGGCUGGUUGACUAGAGAUUUAUCGGUAUGGGAUGAGCUUGCGUCCGAUUAGCUAGUUGGCGGGGCAACGGCCCACCAAGGCGACGAUCGGUAGCCGGCCUGAGAGGGUGAUCGGCCACAUUGGGACUGAGAUACGGCCCAGACUCCUACGGGAGGCAGCAGUAGGGAAUAUUGCACAAUGGGGGAAACCCUGAUGCAGCAACGCCACGUGUGGGAAGAAGCAUUUCGGUGUGUAAACCACUGUCAUGAGGGAAUAAGGCCCGCCUUCGGACGGGAUUGAAUGUACCUUGAGAGGAAGCACCGGCAAACUUCGUGCCAGCAGCGGC
Molecule: ribosomal RNA, 495 nt
Filed under: uncultured bacterium
Lineage: Bacteria
Description: bacterial SSU rRNA
Rfam family: Bacterial small subunit ribosomal RNA
Source: RNAcentral